Lactuca sativa (garden lettuce) is the source of this 322-nucleotide long non-coding RNA. RefSeq lists it as uncharacterized. Lineage: Eukaryota; Viridiplantae; Streptophyta; Magnoliopsida; Asterales; Asteraceae. The record is from RefSeq and is a predicted model, not a curated record.
GGGAAAUGUUGUGAUAGAUGCACGUUCCACAGGGAAAUAUUAUCACUUUGUAAGGCUUAUGUGACGUGCUGCUUCCCACAUUACAUUAGAAUGUGCUUUACAAACUCAUCCAAACAUCACUCUUAUUGGAGAAGAGGUUGCAUCAAAGAAAUUGACACUAAAAAAGGUUACAAAUUACAUAGCAGAUGUAAUCUGUAAACGUGCAGAUCUUGGUUAUAACUAUGGUGUUAUUCUCAUACCUGAAGGACUUAUUGAUUCCCUGAGGUAAAAAAGUGCAAAAGACGAGAAUACCCUUGUCAGGCAUUCUCAUACUAAUAAUCAU